This 76-nucleotide transfer RNA is filed under the name Gammaproteobacteria bacterium. RNAcentral describes it as "tRNA-His". It matches the Rfam family "tRNA". From Rfam's summary of the family: Transfer RNA (tRNA) molecules are approximately 80 nucleotides in length. The record is from RNAcentral. Lineage: Bacteria; Pseudomonadati; Pseudomonadota; Gammaproteobacteria. RNAcentral also lists the same sequence under 2 other names.
GUGGGCGUAGCUCAGUUGGUAGAGCACAGGAUUGUGAUUCCUGUUGUCGUGGGUUCGAGACCCAUCGUCCACCCCA